AGAGUUUGAUCCUGGCUCAGGAUGAACGCUGGCGGCGUGCUUAACACAUGCAAGUCGAACGGGAAACUUUUCAUUGAAGCUUCGGCAGAUUUGGUCUGUUUCUAGUGGCGGACGGGUGAGUAACGCGUGGGUAACCUGCCUUAUACAGGGGGAUAACAACCAGAAAUGGUUGCUAAUACCGCAUAAGCGCACAGGACCGCAUGGUCCGGUGUGAAAAACUCCGGUGGUAUAAGAUGGACCCGCGUUGGAUUAGCUAGUUGGCAGGGUAACGGCCUACCAAGGCGACGAUCCAUAGCCGGCCUGAGAGGGUGAACGGCCACAUUGGGACUGAGACACGGCCCAGACUCCUACGGGAGGCAGCAGUGGGGAAUAUUGCACAAUGGGGGAAACCCUGAUGCAGCGACGCCGCGUGAAGGAAGAAGUAUCUCGGUAUGUAAACUUCUAUCAGCAGGGAAGAUAGUGACGGUACCUGACUAAGAAGCUCCGGCUAACUACGUGCCAGCAGCCGCGGUAAUACGUAGGGGGCAAGCGUUAUCCGGAUUUACUGGGUGUAAAGGGAGCGUAGACGGACUGGCAAGUCUGAUGUGAAAGGCGGGGGCUCAACCCCUGGACUGCAUUGGAAACUGUUAGUCUUGAGUGCCGGAGAGGUAAGCGGAAUUCCUAGUGUAGCGGUGAAAUGCGUAGAUAUUAGGAGGAACACCAGUGGCGAAGGCGGCUUACUGGACGGUAACUGACGUUGAGGCUCGAAAGCGUGGGGAGCAAACCAGGAUUAGAUACCCUGGUAGUCCACGCCGUAAACGAU
Molecule: ribosomal RNA, 802 nt
Filed under: uncultured bacterium
Lineage: Bacteria
Description: bacterial SSU rRNA
Rfam family: Bacterial small subunit ribosomal RNA
Source: RNAcentral